GUUUAGUUCCUUUCUUCAUAAGUGUAGAGGAGAACGGCAGUUGUCCGCAUGUAAACUUCUAGCAUUUGUCACCAAUAAGAGUAUAUCGAAAUAUGUUACUGUUUCAACACCCAGGGAUGUUUCUUAAACAAUUAUUAUUUUUUCUCUCUUUUUUAGCAAUGCAUCACUCUCUACUGUCCUUAUCUAUUAUUCUAUAUUCUGCUACUCCAUCCAGAUUAUCGUGUAUACCAUGAGGGUUCGGAUGGGGGGCGGGGGGGGGGGGGGCUGGGGGGGGUUAUUUCUGUAUUCUUUAAAUUGUUAUGUCACGUUUCCUCCGUGACUUUUUUCCCUUUUACCUUUUAUUUAUCUUACUCAUUAUUCUUUCUCUAUUCUUUAUAUUUUAGCAUCCCAAUAUAUUUUACUUACUGAUGUUUAGUUACAUUACGAUGUUUAUCUCUGAUCUAUAUACUGGUUACCAAUGUAGAUGACAAAUUGGUGUCAUUCAUGACAAUUAAACAGAAUCCACAUGACAUAUGCGACCAUUCUUGGAUGAAAUUAACAUUACUUUAAUAUUACACUUUUUGAAACCGUUUUUAUCAAUUUUCAAUUUCCAUUGUUUAAAUUGUUCAUUGUUCAUGUGUUGUUUCCG
Molecule: long non-coding RNA, 628 nt
Filed under: Mytilus galloprovincialis (Mediterranean mussel)
Lineage: Eukaryota; Metazoa; Mollusca; Bivalvia; Mytilida; Mytilidae
Source: RNAcentral